Molecule: ribosomal RNA, 392 nt
Filed under: uncultured bacterium
Lineage: Bacteria
Description: partial 16S ribosomal RNA
Rfam family: Bacterial small subunit ribosomal RNA
Source: RNAcentral
AUACGGAGGAUCCGAGCGUUAUCCGGAUUUAUUGGGUUUAAAGGGUGCGCAGGCGGCCAUUUAAGUCAGCGGUUAAAUCGUGGGGCUCAACCCCAUUCUGCCGUUGAUACUGGUUUCCUUGAGUACGGUACAGGUGGGCGGAAUUCGUGGUGUAGCGGUGAAAUGCUUAGAUAUCACGAAGAACUCCGAUCGCGAAGGCAGCUCACCGGGCCGGAACUGACGCUGAUGCUCGAAAGUGUGGGUAUCAAACAGGAUUAGAUACCCUGGUAGUCCACACAGUAAACGAUGAAUACUCGCUGUUUGCGAUAUACAGCAAGCGGCCAAGCGAAAGCAUUAAGUAUUCCACCUGGGGAGUACGCCGGCAACGGUGAAACUCAAAGGAAUUGACGGGG